GGAAGUAAAAGUCGUAACAAGGUCUCCGUUGGUGAACCAGCGGAGGGAUCAUUACCGAGUUAUACAACUCCCAAACCCACUGUGAACCUUACCUCAGUUGCCUCGGCGGGAACGCCCCGGCCGCCUGCCCCCGCGCCGGCGCCGGACCCAGGCGCCCGCCGCAGGGACCCCAAACUCUCUUGCAUUACGCCCAGCGGGCGGAAUUUCUUCUCUGAGUUGCACAAGCAAAAACAAAUGAAUCAAAACUUUCAACAACGGAUCUCUUGGUUCUGGCAUCGAUGAAGAACGCAGCGAAAUGCGAUAAGUAAUGUGAAUUGCAGAAUUCAGUGAAUCAUCGAAUCUUUGAACGCACAUUGCGCCCGCCAGCAUUCUGGCGGGCAUGCCUGUUCGAGCGUCAUUUCAACCCUCGAGCCCCCCCCGGGGGCCUCGGUGUUGGGGGACGGCACACCAGCCGCCCCCGAAAUGCAGUGGCGACCCGCCGCAGCCUCCCCUGCGUAGUAGCACACACCUCGCACCGGAGCGCGGAGGCGGUCACGCCGUAAAACGCCCAACUUUCUUAGAGUUGACCUCGGAUCAGGUAGGAAUACCCGCUGAACUUAAGCAUA
Molecule: ribosomal RNA, 605 nt
Filed under: uncultured fungus
Lineage: Eukaryota; Fungi
Description: eukaryotic LSU rRNA
Rfam family: 5.8S ribosomal RNA (bases 244-397)
Source: RNAcentral